GCUUGGUUGGCUGAGUGGUUUAAAGCAACAGUCUUGAAAACUGUCGAUGGCAAUACAUCCAUCCGUUCGAAUCGGAUACCAAGCGCCA
RNAcentral lists this transfer RNA (88 nucleotides) under Caudoviricetes sp. RNAcentral's name for it is "tRNA-Ser". It matches the Rfam family "tRNA". Rfam says of the family: Transfer RNA (tRNA) molecules are approximately 80 nucleotides in length. Their secondary structure includes four short double-helical elements and three loops (D, anti-codon, and T loops). Lineage: Duplodnaviria; Heunggongvirae; Uroviricota; Caudoviricetes. The record is from RNAcentral.